GGACCCAUGGCGCAACGGUAGCGCGUCAGAUUCCAGUUCUUGGAACUACCUGAAGGUGUAUGUCUACUCAUCUUGGCUCCUCUUGCGACAGCGCAAUAUCUAACAUUCAAGCAGUAAGCGUUCGAAUCGCUUUGGGUUCA
Molecule: transfer RNA, 140 nt
Filed under: Cordyceps militaris CM01
Lineage: Eukaryota; Fungi; Ascomycota; Sordariomycetes; Hypocreales; Cordycipitaceae
Rfam family: tRNA
About the family: Transfer RNA (tRNA) molecules are approximately 80 nucleotides in length.
Source: Rfam by way of RNAcentral